Molecule: ribosomal RNA, 253 nt
Filed under: uncultured bacterium
Lineage: Bacteria
Description: partial 16S ribosomal RNA
Rfam family: Bacterial small subunit ribosomal RNA
Source: RNAcentral
UACGUAGGGUCCGAGCGUUGUCCGGAAUUACUGGGCGUAAAGAGCUCGUAGGUGGUUUGUCGCGUUGUUCGUGAAAACUCACAGCUCAACUGUGGGCGUGCGGGCGAUACGGGCAGACUAGAGUACUGCAGGGGAGACUGGAAUUCCUGGUGUAGCGGUGGAAUGCGCAGAUAUCAGGAGGAACACCGGUGGCGAAGGCGGUUCUCUGGGCAUUACCUGACGCUGAGGAGCGAAAGUGUGGGGAGCGAACAGG